Long non-coding RNA from Oreochromis aureus, 1648 nucleotides. NCBI's taxonomy places the organism in Eukaryota, Metazoa, Chordata, Actinopteri, Cichliformes, Cichlidae. The record is from Ensembl.
GUCUGUGUGAGUGAAAGACAGAGGGAGAGAGAGGGACAGAUUGAUGCUUAGUGUGAGCACUCAGGUCGCAUCAGAGCAUCGGGCGUAUAGUGUGAGACCCUGCAUCGUGACCUACGAACUUCUAACCCCUGCGAGUCAAUCGUACAGUUUGAGCAGGCGCUGAAUAACGCCACUGAAAAAUCGCACAGCGUAUGCCCAAGGCUCCGCCGAUGCUGAUGGAAAUGGACAAAACGUUAAGAAACGCAAAGCCAGAGGAACAGACUAACACACACUAAUGCUGUUUUUGACUUCUAUUUAUGCCCUUAGUAGGCGUGACCUAACGGCCGCACUUCAAAGCACGGCCGCACUUCAAAGCACUCAGCCUUUUGACGCGUCAUGUAAUCUUCCUUCUCAUGGCGCAACUCCUCCCACUCAUUCAUAAUCCGACCUCCGCGUUUGCACUCGUCCUACAAGAGCUCCCAAAUUUGAACAUCAUUGAUGUUCAUCGGAUUUACAGAGUGACGACAAACCCCGUCAGCAUGUUAGAUAAAGGAUUUAAGUUAUAUGCUGCAUCAUAUAUACACAACUACGAAGAUUAAGCUUCUGGAUUCAUCGCCAGUGCUCCUGUGUGGCAGGUGCUGUUAUGUGCAAUCACACAGUGGCACUGCUCUUCCAAACAGCACACUACUCACAACUCAGAGUGCCGGUUGUCCCCCUGUGCAUAGCUGCACCGAAUCUGAACAGCAAUGGCACAAGCCACGGACAGUGGGUGUGAAGCCAGGACCUAUCAACUCUAUGAUCUUCACUAAGCCGGUACCAAAUAGGAUGGCCCAGACUGGAGUACGGAGUGGAUUCUACAGAGGCAUUGUGGGUCCAUUACCAGAUCCCUGACCUGACAAGCCCCUUGUGGAAAGUGCCUUUGGGCUGGUGCAGGAGGGCAGUGUUCUGUCAUGUCAGCAGCCGGUUUUGACAACCCGGUACAUCACACUACACCGUGAUGCACCACCAACACCGCACUUGCCUCUGGAGGGUAUGACAUCAAGGAAACCCUGCUCGCUCAGACAGCCUGUGAUAUUUUCUCAAACCGCUGCGCUGAACAAGUUUCCAAAGAACAUGCUGUGUGACACAAUAAAUAUCCUUUAACCUGUUAACCUGUGGCUUCUGGAAGAAACUCGGGUGAGUCAGUCACUGCAAACACAUUUGUAUCAUCAAGUGUUUGUCAAAUGAAAAUGAUAUGUUUUUCUACACUUAGGAUAAUUUUCUAUGUUGCAGUGCAGUAAAGUGCAUGUUUCUUCUGUGUUCAAUCAUACAUGUUCUAAUUGUUAUAAACAGAAAAAAUCUUUUCUUACUUAACUGCUUGAUUCUUAACUUGUUUAACUGAAACAUGAUGAAAUGUCAUAGUAUUAUUUUUUUUUAAAUGUCCUUGGCAGUGCAUGUGUCCGCAUUGUAACUUACUAAUAAAAAGUCCUGUGUGUACUUUGGUGUGUGUUUUAUGUUAUUUUAUUGCAAAUAAAUAAUAGUCAUUUGAUUUUACAGUUACACACAAUCUUAUAUCUCUGGCAUGGCAUGGCAAGGCAAUAUCGGGUACAUGCAAUUUGAAACCUGACAUUCCAGAGCAAAGCAUGAAGCACACAGCACGUGGUCAACGUGACUCAUAUGGAGACUGACA